Molecule: ribosomal RNA, 455 nt
Filed under: uncultured bacterium
Lineage: Bacteria
Description: bacterial SSU rRNA
Rfam family: Bacterial small subunit ribosomal RNA
Source: RNAcentral
UACGGAAGGCAGCAGUGGGGAAUAUUGCACAAUGGGCGCAAGCCUGAUGCAGCCAUGCCGCGUGUAUGAAGAAGGCCUUCGGGUUGUAAAGUACUUUCAGCGGGGAGGAAGGCGAUGCGGUUAAUAACCGCGUCGAUUGACGUUACCCGCAGAAGAAGCACCGGCUAACUCCGUGCCAGCAGCCGCGGUAAUACGGAGGGUGCAAGCGUUAAUCGGAAUUACUGGGCGUAAAGCGCACGCAGGCGGUCUGUUAAGUCAGAUGUGAAAUCCCCCGGGCUUAACCUGGGAACUGCAUUUUGAACUGGCAGGCUUGAGUCUUGUAGAGGGGGUAGAAUUCCAGGUGUAGCGGUGAAAUGCGUAGAGAUCUGGAGGAAUACCGGUGGCGAAGGCGGCCCCUGGGACAAAGCUGACGCUCAGGUGCGAAAGCGUGGGGAGCAAACAGGGAUUAGGAUACC